Molecule: non-coding RNA, 9826 nt
Organism: Chlorocebus sabaeus (green monkey)
Lineage: Eukaryota; Metazoa; Chordata; Mammalia; Primates; Cercopithecidae
Source: RefSeq, a predicted model, not a curated record
GUAGCUAGGACUAUGGGUAUGCACCAUCACACCAAACUGAUUUUUACUUUUUGUGUGGAGACUGUGGUCUCACAACGUUUCUCAGGCCGGUCUCGAACUCGUGGCCUCAAGCGAUCCUCUCACCUCAGUUUCCCUAAGUGCUGGGAUUACAGUUGUGAGUGAUCAUGCCCAGCCUUGAAAUGAUUGUAAGAUGUUUGAGAGGAAUAAACCAACUCACCCCUGUGAAUGGUUUAGUUCAGCGGUUCCUAAACAUUUUCAGUUCACGGCACCCUAAUGUCUUAGUAAUUUUAUUCACAGGGCCCUGAGGCCACAAGAAAUACCUCAUAAUUCUGUUUAUGACCUUGUUGGGUCCAACUACCUUAAUAAGUAUUUAUGUCCUAACAACUUAGUAGCUGGGUAAAAAAUAAUAUGUACAAAUUGAAAGAAAAUAAAUCAUAUUUUAUUGUAUUAUUAAAUAACCACAAUACUUACUAAUGGUAUGUAGGUUCAUCAUUUGGGCACUAGCAAUAUAUAAAACCUUGGAAUCAGAUAGGACAUAUCACUUUUUCCCCCACAGCUAUCACAGCAGUCACCAAAAACCAAGCUUUGCAAAGAUAUGACAUCAUGGAAGGAAAUUUAGCAACCUAAUGUUAAAACCGAUUUACCUGGAGCUAGCAGUUCCUGAGGUGUUUGACAGGCAUCAUUGUGUUUUCCUCAAGUACUUAAAAAUAUCCAGGCACUUCUGCGAGUCCCUUGAGGUGCCUGCCCCUCUGUCUGUUUAUGCAGAGCAGUGUCCCCUUGCUGGUGGACAGGUUCAGUCAGUGCUUUUUCCUCUGCAUGAUGAUAUUAGAUAUGCAGAAAAUCAUGGAUAGGAAGAGCCAAGGAAAAAAGGGGGAAUAAAAAUAGAAUGAACAAAAAAAGGAGCUCAAGAAAUGUAUUUUUAAUGCAGUACCCCAAAAAUAAGCUCAUAUUUUACUAUGUAUUUGACAGCAGAAUACAAUUACAACUGACAUCAAUUAUGUUCUCUAUUAGACUUUUCUCUACCUUAUACAUUUAAAUGUAAUCCCAAAUGGGGAAAGAACCACUGUUUUUUAAUAUAGGUGCUUUCUCAAUUUGAAAACUAGAAUGGAAGUCAUGUUCAGAUGUGUAAAGAAUUCUAAGAAUGAGGUGGGGGUUAAAUGAUUGUUAGCAACCAAGAGGUUCCAUUAUUUUUUCCUUCAAGCAUGUUGGUAUGUGGAAAACGGAAAGCAUAUUAAACCACUCACUUAAGUUAGUUAAACCCAACAUACUAGAGCAAUUAUUAAUCCUCUUUCAUCUUUCUAAUAACAAGACACAAAGCAAUUGUUAGUUAUAAUUUGUAAUCAGUAGCAUGUCGUUAGCGGGCUGUUAAUUGAUUGUAUUUACCAGUGCUUGCGUAGAUGGGUUCUGUUGUUGUUGUUUGAGUUUCAUGUUAAUUCAAUAGGGGUGGUAACUUGGUUUUUGGUGAGGACAGAAAGAUUUUACAUCUCAUUUCACUGAUUCUGUUUUCUUCUCAACAUUGGACUUCUAUGUGCUUAUUUAAAAAACUAUGUGGCUACUGCCAUCUGUUGGAUGGAAUGUGAGUCCUGCUCAGACACGUGGCCCUUUAAACGCCCAGUGUCUGUCCCUUCUAACUUCACCACAUGUCUCCUCAAGGUAAGGUUCUGCCUUUGAUCUACCUGCAUGCAUCCCAGCUUCCAGCCCCAGAACUGAGUUCAUUUUGGGAACGUUUUCUGUGGUGCUGGGGCACUUUCUCUUCAGACAUGUAAAUACUUUUUACUGAAGAGUGUGAGGUUGUUUAGCUUUCCAAUAAGACUCACAGCGUAAGGAGGCAUGUCGAGGUGGGGACGGAUGUGGCUGGGAGCAUGUUUAGGAACAAGUAUAUUUUUAGCAUAGGGUAUCGAAUCUACAUUGGACUAAUAGGCAGAGGAAUCAAAGUUCAGCUGUAAAUUGUGGUGCAUAUUGAGGCCAGUGAUUUUAUGUCUCUGAGCUGGCAUUUCCUCAGCUGUAAGACAAGAGGACAGGACUAGGACUGAGAAAAUCUUAUGAGCUCAAGACCCACGCAGCUCCGUCUCUCUAAGGAGUCAUAUUCAAAGAACAGCAGACCUAACAGCAAAUAGGAAUUUAAGAAGAAACGCCAGUCUGAUUUAACUGAAAAGCACAGAGAAGAACCAAUCUACAGAUCACGGGAAACCCAUUUGACCUGACUCCCUUUUCCUCCACUGCUUGGUUCUUAUUUUUCUACUUUUCUUGGGCUGUGAUUGUCAGCAUCCUCCCUCCUCACCCCUCCUACUCUUUCUCUGCGGAGGGACUGUUUUCUCUCUCCACUCCUGUUCAGCUUUUUUCUUAGUCCUCCCCUCCUCCUGUAGCCCUCAGUCUCAGCUUUCUCUGCCCUUUGGCUGAUUCUGCAUCACAAAAUUCCAAGAACCAGUCUUGGAGAAACUACCUGUUCUCUGAGAUAGGAAACAGGUGAAGAAGCUGAACCAGGCAGAACACACUUCGUAUUGGUCCAGGAGAAACACACACACACACACACACACACACACCCAAGCCCUUCUGACAGCAAGAGCCUUCAAUGCUGUGACUGAUACAACUACAAUGCCUAUAGCUGAAUUCACUGGUUAGCAGGUGCACGAUGGAAUUUUGUCCCUUGAAUUGGGGAUGUUUAAAGAUCCAGGCUAUUUCACUCCUUCCUCUUGCCUUGCUAAAGAAUGACCGGGGUCAUUAUUGAACUCAGUUCUCAUUUGCUUUCUUAAAAUUUGAUGUCCACAAAACCUGGAGUUUAUUUACUUUUCCCUUUCCUCCUUUCUUCAUGUAGUCCAUCAUGCCAUUUGUUAAUACCAGAUUAGAGAAAGGGAGCAUGUCAAGGAAUUCCUUUAUGAUUUCUUCUCUGAGGAUGAAGUCUUGGUUGAGUCUUCAGUGGACAUGGUCAGGAUGGAUCCUAGGAGUGGGGCUGGGGCUCUGCGGUGUGUGUGUUCUCCAGGGCAGUUAUCCUGCUGGGGCUGGGCCAGCCCUCCUGCCCCAGCAGCCCCCAUCUCUCUCUGCCCCACCCUGUCUCCUAGGUGAGGUGUGCCGGGAUUGCUGUGUGGGGAGGGAGUACGGCCAGCCUGCCUGGGCUCAAACCUUCAAGGAAAUGAAAAAUAACUUCUCCUUACAAGAGGUUAGGGGAGCCUCCCCAGGCUCGUCUGCUGCUAGUUCUGUCAGUGGAGAGGCAGUUGAGAAGGCCCCAGGAGGCUGGGAGGAAAGGAAGUGUGCCCAGGCCCACCUAGCGGGAGGUCUACAGGAGAAAGGCCCUCUUUGUCAUUGCUGCCGGGUAACAGCGAGUUUUGCAGUUGGUGAUAAUGAUUCAUUUCCUCAGUUGAGGUUUGGGAGGAUUAUAGCUGGAAUUUGAAAAGUCGUUUCUAUAUCUGGCAACGAAGGAACUCUGAGUGAUCACCAUGUACUGUUUGGUGUUUUGCCAUCAUUGGUAAUAUCACUGUGGCAGGCAGCUCGGGCUGCUGUAACAGAACACUGUAGACUGGGGGGCUCACAAACAGCAGACAUCCACUUCCCACAGUUCUGGAGGCUGGAAGGCCACGACGGGGGGCCAGCUGGCUUGGGUUCCGGUGAGGACCCUCUUCCGGUUGCAGGUGGUUGCCUUCUCAUUGCAUCCUCACGAGGCGGAAAGAUGGCCAGAGAGCUCUCUGAGUCUCUGUCACAAGGGCACUCAUCCCAUUCAUGAGAUCUGCACCCUGGUGACUUAAUCACCUCCCCAAAGGCCCACCUUCUAAAACCAUCACGUGGUGGAUUAGGAUUUGAACAUAUGAAUUUUGUGGGAAUGCAAACAUUCAGUCAAUAGCCACCACCAGCAACACUGAAAUGUAAAUUGGAGGUGUCAUAUGAAAAAAGAAAUGAUCUAAAUGAAGUUCCAUGCUGUCAUAAUGGAGUUCUGCAGCCACCAAUGUAUGUCCUCUGGUUGAGUGUACAGGCGGUGUAUGUAUAUGUGUAAGUGUAUUUAUAUCUUGUGAUUGUUCUGAGCAUUCAUGAUUUAAAGUACCUAAUCAGCAAUGAGCAGUGUUCAUAUUCCCGGCUGAGUAGAGCUAGCGUGUGUCUCUAAACACUGGCUGGUUGUGGAGGCAGAAUGUUAUCAGGAUGCCCUGAUAGAUCAACAAUGUCCUCUCCUGCUUUGCUUCAGGAAGGGGUGAACAUUUGUUUACGGGUCUGACAGAAUAAAAAGUGAACCUGCUGAGAAUGGAGUCCAUGCACUCCAAGUCACUUCGCCUUCGCUGGUGCUGAAGGAUCCCCGUGGCUCAUCGUCCACAGGCCAGAGAGGUUAUUGCUAGCGCAAAUGCUGACCCAGUUCCUUCCACUGCGAUGGACAGCUCCAGUUCCUGACUCAGCUCAGAGGAGCACAGCUCUUUUGUUUCUAGUAUCUUCUAGUAUAGAGGAGCUGUUGUUGAGGACAGGUCCGUGGAGGUGAUUGCCUCCCUUAGCUCCUGCACAGUAAGUGGAUGCUGAGGCAGUCUUGAACACCAGAGCAUAAGGCACUGGGAUGUGUCCCCAGGGCUGUGCUGCCCUUGAGUGGCUUCCUGGUCUGUAAAGUUGCAUGGUGGGUAGGAAGAGACGGAGGUCUGGCGCCUGGCAGCACGCCAUGACUGGGUGGACCUGACUCUCCUGGCACCUUGGGGGUGCAGAGCCACCACUUCAUUCUCACAGAGCUACACUAUUAUGGGGUAUCUUUGAAGGACAUAGGAGACAAUCUGAAGCAUUCAGGAACCCCAAUGCCUUGAAAACACUAUCAGGGGAUGAAUUAUAAUGUAACAUACUAAUAAUAUUAAAAAGGCAAAGUGAGGUAAGGUUUUAAGAGAUUCACUAUGAACUUUGACUUCAAGUCUAUGGAAUCCUGUUUUAGCUCAUACCUCAUUGUAGAUUUUUUAAAAACUGCAGUUCAUUAUGGUUUUUUUUCUAUUAAAAUUGCCUAUAAGUUGACUGUGAGUUUAUCAGAAGUCCGUCUUUUCCCGUUUUAACAAGGUCUAGUGACAACUGGUAAGAACUUAGAAGUACAGUCAGCACCGGCUACUUUCAACUAACUACAGGUGGGAUAACUCUGCAUUGCUGUUGAUUGAUACAGAAGCUGAGACAUGAGUGAUAUUCACUGCAUAACUGGCAAUGCUGGCACUAAUAGGACCCUUCCCACAGGUCAUGCCCUCUGUUGAGUGCACUGUGUAGAUGAUCACAUUUAUUCCCCAGUGCAACUCAUGGGACAGGGAUUAUCAUCCUUAUAUUUAGGGAGGAAAUUGAGACUCAAGAGAGGCUCAGGUAGCAGAACCAGGCUUGGGUCCAGAGACUCUGACCCCAAAGCCGUGACUUAUGGUGGGAAGCUCUGCUUCUUCCCAGAGGUUCUAGUGAGCAGCCUGGGGUGUGAUUUCCGCCUAUGGCGACUGAGAGCUCCUACUUUACGGCGUCAAAUCAGGGAGGGACUCCAGCGUGAUCUGACAGCCGCAGCUGUAGACAUUAUCCCUGCCCUUGUGAAACAUAAAGACUUGUUAGUCUAACGGUAGAGAUACGACAUCAGUGUAACAUAACAGAUACUUACUCAUCAGUUACUGUUACUCCAAACACAACAUUGCUUUAUUAUACGCUAUGUGGUCACUUUUUCUGUAUGUCUAUAAAUCAAAUACAUUUUCCUGCAUCCUGAGAGGUAGCAGCCUAGAUAAAUACUUUAUUUAUUUAUAAUCUGUCCACCUAUUCAUCCGUCCAACACGUAUUUGGUGAUUUUGAUUAAAUUCCAGGUGCCUUUGCUAAGGAUGGAAGGACAUACAAAGAUGUGAAAAUCCAGGCACAGGCUCUUCCUGCAAGGUGGCUCAGUCUAGCAGGGGGAGACCCUCUGUGUAAAGAACUCUGACAAUAACAUAUCUAUCAUCAUCGAGUAUGCGGACAUGACCCGAUUCUGGGGUCUCACAAGGGGCCUUUGGGUGUCUCUGAGAGGACCGUGAUGAAAGACUCAAUGAAAUUCGUGCUUCUGAACCCUGAAUCCACUUCAAGGUGCCGUGUCAGUGCUGUGCGUGUUCACCAGCAGAUGUCACUGUUUACAUAUAAAAUGCAAACAGCCCCCAAAGUUGUUUUUUUCCCCCCACCUUUAUUCUAAAGCAAGACAAGCUUGUCCAUGUUUUUUCAUAAAGCCUUAUUUAUCAUGUGAUCAGUUUUGUUCUGGGAAAUAAUGAUAUUGUUUAUCUCUUUAAAUAGCUGUACAUGUAAAGGGAACUGGUUUAUGAGAGACACUCAUUUCACAUACUAAGCUAUCCAAUCACAUCUCACUUAAAAGAUAAUUGUUGAAUAUUUACAAUUUGCCCGAAACCAGCUUCCCAUGACGAAAGGUGUCCAAAAACAGCUAAAGAGCUGUGCUUCUUUAGGGGUCUUAAAACCUCUUUUGAGAGAUGACAAAUAAUAAAGCAGCUUAGAAUGUUGGAAGUUAAGUUCUAAAACUAAAAAUGAGUGUCAUAUUGUUUCAGGGAGAUAAAGGUCUGUGGGGGCUGGAGCAGAUGGAAGGCUUUAGAGAAGGAAGCCCCGAGAUAACGAGGGUGAAUUCAUCUGGUUGGGAGGGGAAAGGUACUGUGGGUUUUUGGGGUUUUUUUGUUUUGCUUUUCGUGUUUUGGGGUUCUUUUGCUGAGAGAAUAAAGGGCAAUUAUGUUUGGAGGAUCUAUUUGAUGGACUCAUGAAAAGCAAAAUGGAGGGGGCUGAUGUUAUUACAAAAUCCAGCUAUGAGAACAGGAACUCCUGCACUGGUAACUAGAAAUAAAUUCAGAUUGGGAGGCAUAAGGAAGGAAGACAAGACCGCCAUGCCAGCUUAUUGACAGGUAUAGUCACUACGUCUUUUUGUCUUCUCAGUCCAAAAUCAAGAUACAAGCAUUGACACACGGUCAGACACUAAAACAGAAGGUUUGAAAGCAGGGCUGUUUGCAGAAACUCCAGGACACAUGGAUGCUGCGUAUAUGCAGAGGAGACAGUGACUUGAAUCUCAUGAACGUGUGGGGUAACAAUGGUGCUGCCACUGAGGGAAAUGGAAAACCUGGGCAGGAAGGUUGGCUUGCACAGAAAGAUGUUUCUAGUCUGAUCCAUGUUGUUGAAACUGAUGUGGGCCACGGCAUGAUUGGCAAGGCAGGAAGCUAUUCAGGAGCCACUGACCUAGAAGUGGAAACGACGAUAGGGAGGGGAGAGAGAAGGGCCAGGGUGUAGCCGUCACGGUUUGUGUCUUAAGAAGCCAGCUCAUUUUAUUAAAUUGCAUACAUCAGUCAGUAACAUCCAGGAAAGAAGAGAACUGGAAACCUCUCCCUGGUGUGGUGUACUCUUAAGCAUGCAAGUUUCCGCUGACUUUGCACCCUCUCUGCCUUCACAACGUGGGAAUUCGUGACCGGACCCUUCAGCCUGCAUGCCUCCACCUAUCCUAGGGUUUCAUCAUCGUUACUCGGGACUCUCAAACAUCUGUCCAUCAAUCAAUCAGCUGCCCAUCAUACUUGCUCACCCCUUCCAGUCUCUGGGAAAGCAACUUGUUAUCCAACGUGGAAGGUCUUGUUCUUGAUAGGUUCACUUUUCGAAUUCUAUGAGGGAGGGAGGGAAAUGUGGCUGGAAGUUCAAAGCAGCCACAGCCAUUUCCAAAACACAUUCUCCUUCAUGUUCCACUGACUCACUGUCGGAUCUUGACAAACUCCUAACUAGAGCUGUGCCUUAGUUUGCUCAACUAUAGAAUGGAAAAAAAUGACCCAUUCUAUAUUCAGAUUGUGUGUCUGUCUGAUGCAUGUCAAGCCCAGUGGGGGCACACCCUUAGUAAUGAGACAUGUUAGCACCAAUUACGUGCUUUUCACAUUGGGCAGGUGUCAGGAGAGGCCUGGGGUCAUAGGACCAGACUGCAAACAACACAAUCCCAGAAUAAAUCCUACUAAUUUGGCAUAAUUGAUGAAAAUGAAGAUCAGAUAUUUGACCAGAGAUGAGAAAUUCAUGGGCAUGAAUGCUGCAGCUCUGAUUACUUUGCAUAUGAAUGUGUGAAAAGUGCAGGCUUGUGCAAUGAUUUUUCAGAUGAAAUGAAAGCAGGAUGAGGAUGUCAGCCCUGAGUACUUGUGACUUUUAGACCAAAGUCCUUGGCAUCAGCCAGCAUUGCAGGAUGGAACAGGUGAGGUUCAGCAACCCUGUGAAGGGAGGCUAGGGUACUACUGGCACCCUUUAAAAGCAGACUGAGUGCAUAGACUCUCACUAGACUGGAAGUGAGUGAGCAGCCCCGGGAAAGCCCAGAUGAGCUAUUGUGCCUUCCUCAGCUUCCCCACCUUCUGUUGUGCUAGGAAGGGCUGGGGAGCCUGUCUGUGGCAGUCAGACAUCCCUUCCCUGGCCCCUCUAGAGAUGGAUCUACCUCCUUUUAGGAAGUGUGUGGGAGGGGGCCAAUUUGCAAAGGUUCGCUUGUGCUCAGUCCCUGCUAGGAUGAUCAAGCUCUUUUCAAAGCUCAGGGGUUGGGUUUUUGCAGUUUCUGCAUAGAACAGGCACUUAAAUAUCUGUGGAAUUCAUGAACGACUUCAUGCAUGCAUUUGGUCCUGUAUUCUGGUCCAAAUAGAAGAUACGGUAGGUAGACAAAUACCACCUCCUACGGCAGGUAGACAAACACCACCUCCUACGGCAGGUAGACAAAUACCACCUCCUACGGCAGGUAGACAAAUACCACCUCCUACGGCAGGUAGACAAAUACCACCUCCUACGGCAGGUAGACAAAUACCACCUCCUACGGUAGGUAGACAAAUACCACCUCCCCCCACAAAGACGUUUCUGUCCCAAUCCCUGGAACCUGUGCAUACUACUUGAUUUGGAAAAAGAGUCUUCACAGAUGUGAUUAAGUCAAGGGUCUUGAGAUGGGGAGAUCAUGCUGCAUUAUCUGGUAGACCCUAAAGACAAUCGCAUGUAUCCCUACAAGAAAGAAACAGAUAUUUAACUACCUACAGAAGAGGAGAAGGUGAUGUAAAGGUAGAGGCAGAGUGCUACAGACUGAAUGUUUGUGCCCCCCUGCCCCCCCCCCCCAACACACACAAGUUCAUAUGUUGAAACCUAACCCUAAUGUGAUGGUUUUAGGAGGUGGGGCUUUUGGGAAGUGGGAAGUGAUUAGGUUAUGAGGGCAGGGUCCUCAUGAAUGGGACGAGUGCCUUUUUCAAGAGGCCCCAGAGAGCUCCCUUGCCCCUUCCACCGUGUGAGGAUGACCAUCUACGAACCAGGAAACAGGCCCUCAGCAGAGACUGAAUCUACUGGCGUUUUUGAUCUAAGAUUUCCCAGCCUCCAGAACUGUGAGAAAUAAAUUUCUGCUGUUUAUUAGCUACUCAGUCUAUAGUAUUUUCUUACAGCAGCCCAAACGCACUAAGACACAGAGAUUUGCGAAGGUUCAGCCUUUGCAAAUCGUGGUGCAGCCAAGAGCCACAAUUGCCAAAGCUGCCAGCCACUGGAAGAGCCAAGGCCUGGAUUCUCCCCUCUGGAGGGAGUAUGGCCUGUGGACACCUUGGUUUCAGCCCAGCGAAGUUGAUUGUGUACUUCUGGCCUCCAGAACUUUGAAGAAUAGAUUUUGGUGUUGUAAGGCACCGAUGUGUGGUAGUUUGUUGAGCAACCACAGGAAACAAAUACAGAAAACAACCAUCUCCUCCUGAACCAAAGUCCAAAUAACCAAAUUCCACUUUGAACUAACCAAAUUCAAAUUUCAGAAUAAGGAGCAGGAGAUGUUUUUGUCCCACACAGGUAUUACCGGGGCGAUGUUAUGAAGGUGGUGGGAAUUUUUUAAAAUAGUUUUUAAAAUUAUGAAAGUACGAGACCAUCCUGGCUAACACGG